AUUGAACGCUAGCUACAGGCUUAACACAUGCAAGUCGAGGGGAAACGAUAUUGGAAGCUUGCUUCCGAUAGGCGUCGACCGGCGCACGGGUGAGUAACGCGUAUCCAACCUGCCCACCACUUGGGGAUAACCUUGCGAAAGUAAGACUAAUACCCAAUGAUAUCUCAAGAAGACAUCUGAAUGAGAUUAAAGAUUUAUCGGUGAUGGAUGGGGAUGCGUCUGAUUAGCUUGUUGGCGGGGUAACGGCCCACCAAGCCGACGAUCAGUAGGGGUUCUGAGAGGAAGGUCCCCAACAAUGGAAGAGAGACUCGGUCCAAACUCCUACGGGAGGCAGCAGUGAGGAAUAUUGGUCAAUGGGCGAGAGCCUGAACCAGCCAAGUCGCGUGCAGGAUGACGGCCCUAUGGGUUGUAAACUGCUUUUAUAAGUGAAUAAAGUGAGCCUCGUGAGGCUUUUUGCAUGUACCUUAUGAAUAAGGACCGGCUAAUUCCGUGCCAGCCGCCGCAGUAA
This 508-nucleotide ribosomal RNA is filed under the name uncultured bacterium. RNAcentral's name for it is "partial 16S ribosomal RNA". It matches the Rfam family "Bacterial small subunit ribosomal RNA", at positions 30 to 523 of the family's 1533-position model. The record is from RNAcentral.